CCUAAAGAACCUAAAUAUCUAAACGGAGAAAUUCAAUACUACCGUUAAACGUAGUGUGCACUUUUCUCUUAGUAAGACGCCGUGAUCCAUUAGAAAUUGAUACAUACAAAAUGUAUAUUGGGUCAUCAAUAGGUCAAUAUGAAGUUUAUUGGAACAAAUGUCAUAAUCUUACACGGUUGUGUGUAUUGUCUGGUAAGCAUAUUGUAUCCUGUAAUGACUGUCUGAUGGAUUUUAAAGAUAAUAUUAUUGAUGUUACGGCAUCAACUUGGUGAAUAACUAAGUAUUUGAUAUUUAUCUGAUCAACGGCGGUUAAAUUUAGGAUACCUUUUGGACCCGUCUUGAAACACGGACCAAGGAGUCUAUCUAGUAUGCGAGUAAAUGGAUAGAUUAUGAAAUCUAUUUGCAUAAUAAACUUGACUGUUUUUAUGGGAUUACGAG
This 438-nucleotide ribosomal RNA is filed under the name Einfeldia sp. 2SC. RNAcentral's name for it is "partial 28S ribosomal RNA". Lineage: Eukaryota; Metazoa; Arthropoda; Insecta; Diptera; Chironomidae. The record is from RNAcentral.